Raphanus sativus (radish) is the source of this 1036-nucleotide long non-coding RNA. RefSeq lists it as uncharacterized. The record is from RefSeq and is a predicted model, not a curated record. Lineage: Eukaryota; Viridiplantae; Streptophyta; Magnoliopsida; Brassicales; Brassicaceae. The transcript is spliced from 4 exons.
GGUUUAAGACAAACAACAACUUGGGAUCAUCUGUUUCAGAUUGCAUCAGGUCAUACUUCACUGAACCCCAUCCAAACUAGACUCUUACACCUGAGUACAUUCGAAUGACGUGGUUUAAAUUUUUUGCGCAAAAAUAGAAUUGGUCCAUUGGCAUCAACGAGAAAGUCAAAGAGGCUUUCAACGAGAAGGCGAUGGCGUGCCUUAAGAACAAUGUUGGUGACUGGAAAGACAAGUGGCAGUUUGAGGGGGAUGCUGCAAAACCGACGUACAUCAGCGACUUACGUGUAGACUGGCCUCAAGGCUUAUUGGAUGAAGCCUCGGAAUAUUCGCACGUCCAACAACUGUUCAGCGGCCCGGAUGACACGUGACGCGGAGGGUAAUAUGCCGUUGCCCCAUACUUCUGGGCAGACUCCCCACGCUGGAGUCGCCUUGAAGAUGGCCGCUGAGAAAGGGGAGCCUUCAUCCCUUGCAGAACUUUACAAGAAGACACACAGCCAUAAAGAUGGCACGUUCAUGGACGCCCGAGCUGAAAGGAUCCACAACGAAGUGUAGACUCGGAUCCAGGAGGUCGAGACCCAGUUGUCUCGACAGACCCCGGAUGCCCCACCAGUCCAGUUAUCUACCGCCGAAAAAGAUAAAAUUUUUGAAUAGAUUAUCCCGAAGAAAAGGGAACGGAUAGUGGGGAUCGGUUCGGUGAACGAUGUUCCUAGGGUAACAGCGGCUUACGCUGCUACAAGGCAGGAGGAACAUGUUCAGCUCCAGACAGAUUUGAUGGCUGCCAAAGAGGAUUUGACGGCUGCCAAAGAGGUCAUUACAGAGAUGUGGUCUGAUAAUCAGCUUUUCACUAGCGUCCUCGAACUCAUGGCAGAAUCAAACCUGAAUGUUGCGCGGAUAUGGCGGUCUCUACGUCCGCGCCGCAACCCUGCUCCCAAAGAGCAAGCGGAUUUAGAUAGAUAAGCUGAUCUCCGUAGUUCCGAGCUCCGAGAUGAUCUUCACCUUCCUUAGUAUAGGUUAAUUUUUUUCAUUUUCGGUUUGU